Molecule: ribosomal RNA, 471 nt
Filed under: Everettia dominiki
Lineage: Eukaryota; Metazoa; Mollusca; Gastropoda; Stylommatophora; Ariophantidae
Description: partial 16S ribosomal RNA
Rfam family: Bacterial large subunit ribosomal RNA
Source: RNAcentral
UCGCCUGUUAACAAAAACAUAGCUUUAUGAUUUAUUAUAUAAAGUUUUGCCUGCCCAAUGAUAUAACUUAAAUGGCCGCAGUACUUUGACUGUGCUAAGGUAGCAUAAUAAAUUGACUUUUAAUUAAGGUCUAGAAUGAAAGGAUAAAUGAAUAUAUACUGUCUUUAAUAAAUUUAUAUUAAUUUUCUUAAAAGGUGCAAAUUCCUUUAUUUAUAUUAGAAAGACGAGAAGACCCUAGGAGUUUAAAUUAUUUUUGUUGGGGCAACACUAUAACAGAUAAUUUAUAGUAAAUAUUAUAAAUUGAACGAAAUAUUUUAAUUAUAAAUAAACUACCCUAGGGAUAACAGCAUAAUUUAUUGUUAAAUGAGUUUGUGACCUCGAUGUUGGACUAGGAACUUUAAAUAUUAAUUAUAUUUAUUGGUUUGUUCUGUUCGAACAUUUUAUACCUACGUGAUCUGAGUUCAGACCGGA